This is a long non-coding RNA of Cebus imitator (Panamanian white-faced capuchin), 858 nucleotides long. RefSeq lists it as uncharacterized. The record is from RefSeq and is a predicted model, not a curated record. The transcript has 3 exons. NCBI's taxonomy places the organism in Eukaryota, Metazoa, Chordata, Mammalia, Primates, Cebidae.
CGGCGCGGGCCCAGACGCUUCCUAAUGGCCCUGGUGGCUGCCAAUCACGCGUCGCUCCCGCCCUGCCCCGCCCCGCUGGUGCCGCAGCUCCAGGCCAAGGUGGCCCGGGCCCGACAGUCGGUGGAUCUGAGCGCCGGGCCCGCGUCCGUCACCUCUCCCGAAUCUCUGCUCCUCGAUCUCUGGCUCCCGGUCCUGGGAUCUCUGCCUCUCUUGGGUCCGCGGAAGCCGCAGGCCGAUCCCUGGGGUGUUGAAAGGUCUUGAGAAACCUCCCUCUCCCCUGUCCCAACCCGAUGCUUAGCACCUGGGGUCUGUAGAGGUGGCCUGGGGACGCCCCGACGGACUUCCGGCCUCACUGCCCCUUCAAGGCGGGAACUCGCUCACAGGAAGAGGACGUUCUGGGGCCGGCUCUCAACCAGGCAGAGGCUCGGCUUCCCAAAAGGUCCCCACCUCAGACAGCACAGGAGCUGAAGGGCAGGCUGGAGGAAUGAUGACCUCAACUCAGCCUGGCCUGAGUGCACCAGACCUGCCGGAGCUGGGGGAAGGCGGCUUGAGAACCGCACAAGCACUGUUGGUUGGCUGAGGACUACUGAGGCAGUGGGGCAUGCGGCUCAGCCAGGCACUCGCUCUGGAAGGAAGUCAUCUACCACACAGAUUCUAAGUCCAGCUGGGAAACCCUUGCUUGCCUCUUAUCCCAGGCUACCGAGGCUCCCACCUGUGCCAGCUGUCCCCAUCCCGGAGGUCUGAGGUGGUGUGCGGCUGGGUGGGCAGUAUGCCCUGAGCCUCGUAAUACAGCCAGUCUUCCACAAACUCAGAUCCCCGGAUACCUGGAGAAGCCCACACUAACAGGCCAGAUCCACU